GCGAGAGUGGUGGAAUGGCAGACACGCUAGACUUAGGAUCUAGUGCCUUAGGGCGUGAGGGUUCAAGUCCCUUCUCUCGCA
This 81-nucleotide transfer RNA is filed under the name Spirochaetaceae bacterium. RNAcentral describes it as "tRNA-Leu". It matches the Rfam family "tRNA". From Rfam's summary of the family: Transfer RNA (tRNA) molecules are approximately 80 nucleotides in length. Their secondary structure includes four short double-helical elements and three loops (D, anti-codon, and T loops). Further hydrogen bonds mediate the characteristic L-shaped molecular structure. tRNAs have two regions of fundamental functional importance: the anti-codon, which is responsible for specific mRNA codon recognition, and the 3' end, to which the tRNAs corresponding amino acid is attached (by aminoacyl-tRNA synthetases). tRNAs cope with the degeneracy of the genetic code in two manners: having more than one tRNA (with a specific anti-codon) for a particular amino acid; and 'wobble' base-pairing, i.e. permitting non-standard base-pairing at the 3rd anti-codon position. RNAcentral also lists the same sequence under 1 other name. Lineage: Bacteria; Pseudomonadati; Spirochaetota; Spirochaetia; Spirochaetales; Spirochaetaceae. The record is from RNAcentral.